This 1192-nucleotide long non-coding RNA is filed under the name Coturnix japonica (Japanese quail). RNAcentral describes it as "lncRNA (ENSCJPG00005001546.1)". The record is from RNAcentral. Lineage: Eukaryota; Metazoa; Chordata; Aves; Galliformes; Phasianidae.
UCUCUUUAUGCGGUCUCUAUGGGUCUCGUAUUGGGCUCUAUGGGCCGGUCUCUAGGGUUUCUAGAUGGUCUCUAUGUGUUUCUAUGGGGUCUCUCUGUGUCCCCAUAGGCUCCAUAGUCCCCUACAGGCCUCUAUUCUUGUUGCUAGGCAACGCCACGGACAGUCCCGCCCCCAAUUCCGUGGUGUUUCGGCUGGCCCCCCCACGGUCCGUGCCCCGCCCGCACGACGCAGCGCCCCGUGCGUUUGCUAUGGCGACAUGACGGCCUGUUUCCAUGGCAACGUCACCGUCAGCGUCGGCGGCCUGACCCUAUGGCGGGAGGUUCGUGGCUGCGUCCGUGACCCCGACUGCACCCAGGUGACGCGUGGGGACGGCGCCGUGGGGCUGAGGGGCUCCUGCUGUUAUGGCGACUUCUGUAACCGGGAUCUGAGCAACAAAACCUUCUUCGCCCCCAAUUUACCCCGAUUGGAGCUGCUGCCCCAUAACCUGCCCCAUAACCUGCCCCAUAACCUGCCCCAUAACCACACCGGGCUGCCCCACGGAGGGUCCAAGAUGGCGGCCGAUGGAUCCAAGAUGGCGUCCAAUGGGUCCAACAUGGCGUCCAAUGGGUCCAAGAUGGCGGCCGAUGGAUCCAAGAUGGCCGCCGAUGGAUCCAAGAUGGCCGCCGAUGGAUCCAAGAUGGCCGCCGACGCUGGCUCCAAGAUGGCUGCCAAUGGAUCCAACAUGGCGGCGCCCGGAGGAUCCAAGAUGGCCGCCGAUGGAUCCAAGAUGGCGGCCAAUGGAUCCAAGAUGGCGGCCGAUGGAUCCAAGAUGGCCGCCGAUGGAUCUAAGAUGGCGGCCGAUGGAUCUAAGAUGGCGGGCGAUGGAUCCAAGAUGGCGUCCAAUGGGUCCAACAUGGCGGCCAAUGGAUCCAACAUGGCGGCCCCCAAUGAUUCCAACAUGGCGGCCCCCACGGAAUCCAAGAUGGCCGCCGACAGCAACGGCAGCACCAAUGGGAAGAGGAGCGGGGCCAAGAUGGCCGCCCACGUGACCCCUGCCGGCCCCAAGAUGGCCGCCGUCGACCCCCAGGGAUCACAUCCGGGGUCAGGGAGCCCCGAGGGCUCAUGGGAGCGGAAGUCCCUAGCGGAUGGGGGCGGGGCUAUGAGGGGGGUGGGGGGGUGGGUGUGGGUCCUCCUAUUAUUGCCCCUCUUAUAA